Molecule: long non-coding RNA, 1324 nt
Organism: Gossypium arboreum
Lineage: Eukaryota; Viridiplantae; Streptophyta; Magnoliopsida; Malvales; Malvaceae
Exons: 3
Source: RefSeq, a predicted model, not a curated record
ACAUAAUAGCAACCAAUCCAAAACAAACAAGACCCAAAAAAAAAGCGAAAGCCCUAAUAAAAUAAGUCGAGAAUAAACAGCUCUGGAAGCAAAACAAUAUCAAAAUUUGGAACCUUAAACGAGCUGUUAUCCAAACCUUCCAGAGAAAACCAAAGCUGAAGGGAUGCCACUGAUGACGAGACAAAAGAGAUGAUCCAGCGACCGUGGAAAACCAGAGAAGCAGCUAUUAAAACUGAUGAACGGGCAACCACUGAUUUUGAAGCUUGUGUUCUAGCAGAGAGAUCCCAAAUCCCAAGCCAGUCAUGCAGAAACCAUGAAAACCCUUGAGCUCCCCCCACCUUCCAGAUCCCCCCGAUCUAGGUCACAAGAACUCCUCAAUUGCCCCGACAAAUCGACCCGAUAACAUCCCUAUCAUGGUUCACCACUGUUGAAAUAAAUAGAGGCACCGUGCCUACCCUGGAAACAAAACCCCCAUCUCGAAGACCCAUUGAUGCCAACCAAUAGACCACCUGAUUUGCAAUGCGAGGGACAUGCAGAAAGUGAAAUCCGCAAAGAUGCGUUACCAUGGCAAUAAUGUCCCUGAUGUAAGGACCCAGAACAGACACAUCAGGUCGAGGAGAGAGGAGUUUGUAGAUCACCGUUAAAGAAUCACCUUAAAAAAUGACCAACUGAAAUCCCAAAUCCAGAGCCAAGUGGACUGCAUGAUAACAAGCCAGUGCCUCGGCAGCGAAAGGCGAAGGAAAAAGAUCAGACCCGCUAUAAGUUGCGUCAAAAUUUACCUUUACAAAAAGAAGAUCCGAAGGCCGCCACCGCUCAACACCGAUCAAGCGACCAUGUAACUGCUGAUUUAUCACAUCCAAUUUCAAAAGGGACCCCUAAAUAGCAAAAACUGACUGGCAAUCUCGGAAGAUAUGUUUUAAAGUCUCAUUAGCAAUAAGGGAUCGUGGACACAAAGAAAAGGUUCCAAAACAUUUGUGAUAUAGAGUAUAAUAGCUAGGAAUGUAAUUGUGAAAAUUUCUUCAAACUGUAAUUUUAACUUUUUCUAGUAGUUUCAACUUCUAUAGAGUAGUAUAGAAAAGUUUGUAAGAGUUUGGAAUCGCCGUGUAACCCGAAGAAAUAAGGAGUCUGUAACCACUACGAACAGAGAAUUCACUCUAAGGCUCAACACCUCAGAUCAAUAAGUCAUCGUGGACCAUUCGAGAAAAAGAAAUACAGAGCACACGAUUAACCAGGGCACAGCCCAGAACGCUGGUGAGUCGGUUUUAUUCCCAUUGUCUCGAAUAAGGGUUAAUGAAUUUUGAAACAAGUAAAUCUGGAGACAUAA